This 400-nucleotide ribosomal RNA is filed under the name uncultured bacterium. Its description in RNAcentral is "bacterial SSU rRNA". It matches the Rfam family "Bacterial small subunit ribosomal RNA", at positions 355 to 747 of the family's 1533-position model. The record is from RNAcentral.
UGGGGAAUUUUGCGCAAUGGACGAAAGUCUGACGCAGCAACGCCGCGUGGGUGAUGAAGGUCUUCGGAUCGUAAAACCCUGUCGUCAGGGACGAAGGUUGCAUAUCUAAUAGGUGUGCAAUUUGACGGUACCUGGAGAGGAAGCCCCGGCUAACUCUGUGCCAGCAGCCGCGGUAAUACAGAGGGGGCAAGCGUUAUUCGGAAUUAUUGGGCGUAAAGGGCGCGUAGGCGGUGAUUUAAGUGAGAUGUGUAAUCCCCGAGCUUAACUUGGGAACUGCAUCUCAGACUGGGUCGCUAGAGUGCUGGAGAGGGUGGUGGAAUUCCACGUGUAGCGGUGAAAUGCGUAGAGAUGUGGAGGAACACCAGUGGCGAAGGCGGCCACCUGGACAGUAACUGACGCU